CCUACGGGAGGCAGCAGUGGGGAAUUUUCCGCAAUGGGCGAAAGCCUGACGGAGCAAUACCGCGUGAGGGAAGAAGGUCUGUGGAUUGUAAACCUCUUUUGUUAGGGAAGAUAAUGACGGUACCUAACGAAUAAGCAUCGGCUAACUCCGUGCCAGCAGCCGCGGUAAUA
RNAcentral lists this ribosomal RNA (170 nucleotides) under uncultured bacterium. Its description in RNAcentral is "partial 16S ribosomal RNA". It matches the Rfam family "Bacterial small subunit ribosomal RNA", at positions 338 to 525 of the family's 1533-position model. The record is from RNAcentral.